GAUGAACGCUGGCGGCGUGCCUAAUACAUGCAAGUCGAGCGGACGGACGAGACGCUUGCUUGUCUGAUGUUAGCGGCGGACGGGUGAGUAACACGUGGAUAACCUACCUAUAAGACUGGGAUCACUUCGGGAAACCGGAGCUAAUACCGGAUAAUAUUUUGAACCGCAUGGUUCAAAAGUGAAAGACGGUCUUGCUGUCACUUAUAGAUGGAUCCGCGCUGCAUUAGCUAGUUGGUAAGGUAACGGCUUACCAAGGCAACGAUGCAUAGCCGACCUGAGAGGGUGAUCGCCCACACUGGAACUGAGACACGGUCCAGACUCCUACGGGAGGCAGCAGUAGGGAAUCUUCCGCAAUGGGCGAAAGCCUGACGGAGCAACGCCGCGUGAGUGAUGAAGGUCUUCGGAGCGUAAAACUCUGUUAUUAGGGAAGAACAUAUGUGUAAGUAACUGUGCACAUCGUGACGGUACCGAAUCAGAAAGCCACGGCUAACUACGUG
RNAcentral lists this ribosomal RNA (497 nucleotides) under uncultured bacterium. RNAcentral describes it as "partial 16S ribosomal RNA". It matches the Rfam family "Bacterial small subunit ribosomal RNA", at positions 28 to 507 of the family's 1533-position model. The record is from RNAcentral.